RNAcentral lists this ribosomal RNA (691 nucleotides) under uncultured bacterium. Its description in RNAcentral is "bacterial SSU rRNA". It matches the Rfam family "Bacterial small subunit ribosomal RNA", at positions 8 to 698 of the family's 1533-position model. The record is from RNAcentral.
AGAGUUUGAUCCUGGCUCAGGAUGAACGCUGGCGGCGUGCCUAACACAUGCAAGUCGAGCGAUGAACAGAUGGACAAGGCUUCGGCCAAGGAAAUCUGUUCAGAGCGGCGGAUGGGUGAGGAACGCGUGGGGAACCUGCCUUUCACCGGGGGAUACCAGCUGGAAACGGCUGUUAAUACCGCAUAUGCUCACAGUGCCGCAUGGCACAGGGAGGAAAACUCCGGUGGUGAAAGAUGGACCCGCGUCGGAUUAGUUAGUUGGUGAGGUAACGGCCCACCAAGACAAUGAUCCGUAGCCGGCCUGAGAGGGCGACCGGCCACAUUGGGACUGAGACACGGCCCAAACUCCUACGGGAGGCAGCAGUGGGGGAUAUUGCACAAUGGGGGAAACCCUGAUGCAGCGACGCCGCGUGAAGGAAGACGUAUUUCGGUAUGUAAACUUCUAUCAGCAGGGAAGAAAAUGACGGUACCUGACUAAGAAGCCCCGGCUAACUACGUGCCAGCAGCCGCGGUAAUACGUAGGGGGCAAGCGUUAUCCGGAUUUACUGGGUGUAAAGGGAGCGUAGACGGCAUGGCAAGUCUGGUGUGAAACUCCCGGGCUUAACCCCGGACUUGCAUUGGAAACUGUCNNGCUUGAGUACUGGAGGGGGCNAGGNNGNAUUNCUGGUGUAGCGNUGAAAUGCGUAGAUAUC